RNAcentral lists this ribosomal RNA (1064 nucleotides) under Plasmodium ovale (malaria parasite P. ovale). Its description in RNAcentral is "SSU rRNA". It matches the Rfam family "Eukaryotic small subunit ribosomal RNA", at positions 604 to 1459 of the family's 1831-position model. The record is from RNAcentral. Lineage: Eukaryota; Apicomplexa; Aconoidasida; Haemosporida; Plasmodiidae.
UUAAAAUUGUUGCAGUUAAAACGCUCGUAGUUGAAUUUCAAAGAAUCAAUAUUUUAAGUAAUGCUUUUGGUUUAAGAUGCUUAGGCAAUACAACGUAUCUGCUCUUUGCAUUCCUUAUCCAAAAUGUGUUCUUAUUAUAAAAAGGAUUCUUUUUAAAAUCUCCUAUACUUUCUUGUACUGGAGAUUUUGUUACUUUGAGUAAAUUAGAGUGUUCAAAGCAAACAGUUAAUGCAUUUUACUGCGUUUGAAUACUACAGCAUGGAAUAACAAAAUUGAACAAGUCAAAAUUCUGUUCUUUUUUCUUAUUUUGACUUAGUUACGAUUAAUAGGAGUAGCUUGGGGGCAUUUGUAUUCAGAUGUCAGAGGUGAAAUUCUUAGAUUUUCUGGAGACAAACAACUGCGAAAGCAUUUGCCUAAAAUAUUUCCAUUAAUCAAGAACGAAAGUUAAGGGAGUGAAGACGAUCAGAUACCGUCGUAAUCUUAACCAUAAACUAUACCAACUAGGUUUUGGAUGAAAAGUUUUUAAAUAAGAAAAUUCCUUUUGGAAAUUUCUUAGAUUGCUUCCUUCAGUACCUUAUGAGAAAUCAAAGUCUUUGGGUUCUGGGGCGAGUAUUCGCGCAAGCGAGAAAGUUAAAAGAAUUGACGGAAGGGCACCACCAGGCGUGGAGCUUGCGGCUUAAUUUGACUCAACACGGGGAAACUCACUAGUUUAAGACAAGAGUAGGAUUGACAGAUUAAUAGCUCUUUCUUGAUUUCUUGGAUGGUGAUGCAUGGCCGUUUUUAGUUCGUGAAUAUGAUUUGUCUGGUUAAUUCCGAUAACGAACGAGAUCUUAACCUGCUAAUUAGCGGCGAAUACGUUAUAUUCCUACUUGAAAUUGAAUAUAGCUGAAUUUUGCUUAUUUUGAAGAAUACAUUAGGAUACAAUUAUAGUGUCCUUUUCCCUUUUCUACUUAAUUUGCUAUUCAUGCUGUUUCUUUUUUGUGUAGGAAUGUAUUCGUUUGAUUGUAAAGCUUCUUAGAGGAACGAUGUGUGUCUAACACAAGGAAGUUUAAGGCAACAACUAG